CCUACGGGGUGCAGCAGUGGGGAAUAUUGGACAAUGGGCGAAAGCCUGAUCCAGCCAUGCCGCGUGUGUGAAGAAGGCCUUCGGGUUGUAAAGCACUUUCAGUGGGGAAGAAAGCCUUGGGGCUAAUACCCUCGAGGAAGGACAUCACCCACAGAAGAAGCACCGGCUAACUCCGUGCCAGCAGCCGCGGUAAUACGGGGGGUGCGAGCGUUAAUCGGAAUUACUGGGCGUAAAGCGCGCGUAGGCGGUCUGAUAAGCCGGUUGUGAAAGCCCCGGGCUCAACCUGGGAACGGCAUCCGGAACUGUCAGGCUAGAGUGCAGGAGAGGAAGGUAGAAUUCCCGGUGUAGCGGUGAAAUGCGUAGAGAUCGGGAGGAAUACCAGUGGCGAAGGCGGCCUUCUGGACUGACACUGACGCUGAGGUGCGAAAGCGUGGGUAGCAAACAGGAUUAGAUACCCGGGUAGUC
This 465-nucleotide ribosomal RNA is filed under the name Vreelandella stevensii. RNAcentral describes it as "partial 16S ribosomal RNA". It matches the Rfam family "Bacterial small subunit ribosomal RNA", at positions 338 to 795 of the family's 1533-position model. The record is from RNAcentral. Lineage: Bacteria; Pseudomonadati; Pseudomonadota; Gammaproteobacteria; Oceanospirillales; Halomonadaceae.